Molecule: ribosomal RNA, 1399 nt
Filed under: Capnocytophaga genosp. AHN8471
Lineage: Bacteria; Pseudomonadati; Bacteroidota; Flavobacteriia; Flavobacteriales; Flavobacteriaceae
Description: partial 23S ribosomal RNA
Rfam family: Bacterial large subunit ribosomal RNA
Source: RNAcentral
CGAAAAGUUAUGUAAGGGCGUAUGGGGGAUGCCUAGGCUCUCAGAGGCGAAGAAGGACGUGAUAAGCUGCGAAAAGUUGCGUGUAUUGGCACAUACGAGAUGAUACGCAAAUAUCCGAAUGGGGCAACCCAGUACAUUGAAGAUGUACUACACCGUAAAGGUGAGCAAACCCGCUGAACUGAAACAUCUUAGUAGGCGGAGGAGAAGAAAACAAAAGUGAUUCCCAAAGUAGUGGCGAGCGAAAUGGGAACAGCCCAAACCCGUAUUGUUACGGCAAUGCGGGGGUAGUAGGACCCUAAUAUAGGUUGUAGAGCUGGAUUAGAAGUGUUUGGAAAGACACACCAUAGAGAGUGAAAGUCUCGUAUAGGCACAGCGAUAUAAACCUUAAGGGAAUCCUGAGUAGGUCGGGGCACGUGGAACCUUGACUGAAUCUGCCGGGACCAUCCGGUAAGGCUAAAUACUCCUGAGAGACCGAUAGUGAACUAGUACCGUGAGGGAAAGGUGAAAAGAACCGUGAAUAACGGAGUGAAAUAGCCCCUGAAACCAUACGCUUACAAGCGGUUGGAGCAGCUACGGCUGUGACAGCGUGCCUUUUGCAUAAUGAGCCUACGAGUUACUGUUACCAGCGAGGAUAAGUAUUUCAGAUACGAAUCCGCAUCGAAAGAGAGUCUGAAAAGGGCGCAAAUAGUUGGUAGUAGUAGACGCGAAACCUGGUGAUCUACCCUUGGGCAGGUUGAAGCGCUGGUAACACAGCGUGGAGGACCGAACUGGUUGUCGUUGAAAAGACUUCGGAUGACCUGAGGGUAGGGGUGAAAGGCCAAUCAAACUGGGAAAUAGCUCGUACUCCCCGAAAUGCAUUUAGGUGCAGCGUUGAAGCGAGUUUAAUAGAGGUAGAGCUACUGAUUGGAUGCGGGGGUUUCAUCGCCUACCAAUUCCUGACAAACUCCGAAUGCUAUUAAAUGCUCAUCAGCAGUGAGGGUAUGGGUGCUAAGGUCCAUAUCCUAAAGGGAAAGAACCCGGACCAUCAGCUAAGGUCCCCAAAUAUAUGCUAAGUUGACCAAACGCGGUCUGACUGCACUGACAGCUAGGAUGUUGGCUUGGAAGCAGCCAUACAUUUAAAGAGUGCGUAACAGCUCACUAGUCGAGCGGUUGGGCAUGGAUAAUAAACGGGCAUAAGCAUAUUACCGAAGCUAUGGGGUUAUUACUAAGUAAUAUACCGGUAGGGGAGCAUUCUAUAGGCGUGGAAGCUAAAGGCGUGAGCCAUAGUGGAGCUGAUAGAAAAGAAAAUGUAGGCAUAAGUAACGAUAAGGCAGGCGAGAAACCUGCCCGCCGAAAGAUCAAGGUUUCCUCAGCUAUGCUAAUCAGCUGAGGGUUAGUCGGGGACUAACGCGCACCCGAG